UAACCCGCUCCUGUCCCAGUCAUUUUUGUGCUUAUGCAACUCUCCUACUCUUGUAGUUGCAUAGUCACAAAAGUGAUUGGGACACUGCGAGCG
Molecule: microRNA precursor, 93 nt
Filed under: Patiria miniata (bat star)
Lineage: Eukaryota; Metazoa; Echinodermata; Asteroidea; Valvatida; Asterinidae
Description: microRNA pmi-mir-153 precursor
Gene: pmi-mir-153
Rfam family: mir-153 microRNA precursor family (bases 13-83)
Source: miRBase by way of RNAcentral